Molecule: ribosomal RNA, 505 nt
Filed under: uncultured bacterium
Lineage: Bacteria
Description: partial 16S ribosomal RNA
Rfam family: Bacterial small subunit ribosomal RNA
Source: RNAcentral
GACGAACGCUGGCGGCGUGCCUAAUACAUGCAAGUAGAACGCACAGUUUAUACCGUAGCUUGCUACACCAUAAACUGUGAGUUGCGAACGGGUGAGUAACGCGUAGGUAACCUGCCUGGUAGCGGGGGAUAACUAUUGGAAACGAUAGCUAAUACCGCAUAAUAUUGAUUAUUGCAUGAUAAUUGAUUGAAAGCUGCUAUUGCAUCACUACCAGAUGGACCUGCGUUGUAUUAGCUAGUAGGUGAGGUAACGGCUCACCUAGGCGACGAUACAUAGCCGACCUGAGAGGGUGAUCGGCCACACUGGGACUGAGACACGGCCCAGACUCCUACGGGAGGCAGCAGUAGGGAAUCUUCGGCAAUGGACGAAAGUCUGACCGAGCAACGCCGCGUGAGUGAAGAAGGUUUUCGGAUCGUAAAGCUCUGUUGUAAGAGAAGAACGGGUGUGAGAGUGGAAAGUUCACACUGUGACGGUAUCUUACCAGAAAGGGACGGCUAACUACGUG